GUUAAAAAGCUCGUAGUUGGAUUUCUGGGAUUUUCAGCCGGCCGGCUCUUAGGAGUUGUAGCUAGGUUUGCAAGUCUCAUCUUCUCACAAUUCUCGCUGGCCUUAACUGAUCGGCGUAGAGGACUGAGUCGUUUACUUUGAGAAAAUUAGAGUGUUCAAAGCAGGCUAUCGCCUUGAAUAUAUUAGCAUGGAAUAAUAAUAUAGGACUUUGGUUCUAUUUUGUUGGUUGUUCGAGGACCGAAGUAAUGAUUGAUAGGGACGGUUGGGGGCAUCAGUAUUCUGAAGCGAGAGGUGAAAUUCUUGGACCUUCGGAAGACUA
RNAcentral lists this ribosomal RNA (319 nucleotides) under uncultured marine eukaryote. RNAcentral describes it as "bacterial SSU rRNA". It matches the Rfam family "Eukaryotic small subunit ribosomal RNA", at positions 618 to 938 of the family's 1831-position model. The record is from RNAcentral.